RNAcentral lists this ribosomal RNA (228 nucleotides) under Clostridioides difficile. Its description in RNAcentral is "partial 23S ribosomal RNA". It matches the Rfam family "Bacterial large subunit ribosomal RNA", at positions 1671 to 1910 of the family's 2925-position model. Lineage: Bacteria; Bacillati; Bacillota; Clostridia; Peptostreptococcales; Peptostreptococcaceae. The record is from RNAcentral.
GGAGAGUAUCCUAAGGCCAGCGAGAGAACUGUUGUUAAGGAACUCGGCAAAAUGACCCCGUAACUUAGGGAUAAGGGGUGCCACCAUCAGGUGGCCGCAGCGAAUAGGCCCAAGCGACUGUUUACCACAAACAUAGGUUUCUGCUAAGUCGCAAGACGAUGUAUAGGAGCUGACGCCUGCCCGGUGCUGGAAGGUUAAGGGGAUCUGUUAGAGCAAUCGAAGCAGUGA